Phyllostomus discolor (pale spear-nosed bat) is the source of this 322-nucleotide long non-coding RNA. RefSeq lists it as uncharacterized. The record is from RefSeq and is a predicted model, not a curated record. Lineage: Eukaryota; Metazoa; Chordata; Mammalia; Chiroptera; Phyllostomidae. The transcript has 3 exons.
AGGUGGGCACAGGUAACCAGGUUCUUGGUGAUCGCAGACAAAGAGUUGAACCAAACACAGAGAGUUUACAACAGAGAGAGAGAGAGAACAGAUUUAUUGAGCCAUAGUACACUCCACAGAACAUGGGAGCAGGCCAACUAUGAGCAGAGAUUGACCUCAGGGGCUUGAGGGAUUCUAUUCUUAUAGGAUGGAUAUUUCCUAGCAAAUUUUGAUGGGCUUUUAUUGCCCAGGUACAAGUGGUUAUAUUACUUUAAGCUACUGCACACGUGGUCUCCCAUGAUUUUCCUUGAUUAGCCACCACUGGGAAAAAGGGGGUACCACA